UACAGAGGUGGCAAGCGUUGUUCGGAAUUACUGGGCGUAAAGGGCGCGUAGGCGGCUUGGUCAGUCCCGUGUGAAAUCCCUCGGCUCAACUGAGGAACUGCACGGGAAACUGCCUGGCUUGAGUUCGGGAGAGGGAAGCGGAAUUCCGGGUGUAGCGGUGAAAUGCGUAGAUAUCUGGAGGAACACCGGUGGCGAAGGCGGCAUCCUGGACCAACACUGACGCUGAGGCGCGAAAGCCAGGGGAGCAAACGGG
RNAcentral lists this ribosomal RNA (253 nucleotides) under uncultured bacterium. RNAcentral's name for it is "partial 16S ribosomal RNA". It matches the Rfam family "Bacterial small subunit ribosomal RNA", at positions 524 to 776 of the family's 1533-position model. The record is from RNAcentral.